AACAUGGGAGUCCAAUGAGAAGGACUGGUCCCUUCAUGUCCCCCUCUAAAGCUUUGUAGGAACAAUCUGCUAAAAGAUUUUUGAAAGCUUAACCCCAAAAUAGCCUUUCAUUCCCAGAGGGGUGGGGAAGCCUCUUGCUUUCAGACUUAAUAAUGAUAUACUACACAACUCUUUUACAAUGCUUUUUCAUCAGGAGAUCAAAGUGUGAUAUAAAGGAGAGUGGUGGUAUUACCUCGGUUUUACAGAUGGGGAAACUGAAGCACGGGGAGGCAGAUGACUUGCCCAAGGUCACCCAGCAGAUCAGUGCAGAGCCCGGCAUAGAGCCCAAAUCUGCUGAGGCCCAGUCCAGUGCACUGUCCACUAGGCCAUACUGCCCCCCUGUAACUUAAAUUUCACGUUUCAACUUUCAUCAUCUCCUUUCCCCUUUUCAGAAGUUUCCUUCUCUGUUGAUGAAGAACUAACCAUUCGUUACUGCAAGAGCCUCCCACAAUAAACACACAAACACAAGGACUUGAAUUCGCCUGUUACUUGCUUGGACCGUGGCAAGGAAAUACUGACCAAAUGGAAAGAAGGAGCGUCUUCAGUUCUCCAAGAGGCACCAGCUGGCAAAGGCCACCUGUGAGACUGGGUGUUGCAAGCUAAGGAUCAGUGCAUCAGGAUCCAUCUGCUCACAAAUGUGUCUGGGUGCAGAUGUUCCCUGAGACACAGAGAGGUUGAGACUUGAGUGGCAGAGCCAGAACUAAAACACAGGAGUUCUGGUUCCCAGGCCCUGACCACACGUCUAACUGUGCCAUGUGACUGGUGGGCAGGCCGCGUGGUAGAUAAUUGGACACGGCAUUCCCAGGCAAUCAGAGUUUGAAGGAAGGCAGGCUGCGUGAUGGUACAAUUGAUCUGAAUUUCACUGAGCUCUAGAGUGAACCUGGAGAUGAUGCAGGCACAAACUGAGGGAGGGGAGCCCUAAUAAAUUGAAGCAGAAGAAUGGCAUGGAACUUGCAAAAUGAUUAAGUGAGAGACACUGACAUCGCAAGCCGCUUGUGUGCAGUCUACAGCUCUGUUACAGCCAGGCUUCUCUAAUGAGGACAGCAUCCUAUACUGCUUAUGUGCCUUGCUUGAAAGGGAGAACGCUGAACGCCAAAACUGAGCUGAUAGCUGUAUCUGUGUAUGGAAUUCCUGAUGGGAAACUAUCCAACCACCACUGAAAGAUUGAUGGCUAGAGACAAUCAUGUGAUCUGCGUCUUUCUUCAGCAGUCUGCAAAGAGCCAGCCUCGAGCAAGGUGGAGUGAAUUGUGCCUCUACCUUAGGGAGCAGCCUGCUUUGUCUCUCUCUCUCUUUUUGAUUCCUGUGUGGUGUCGUUCUGGAUUCUGAGAAUAAAUUAUGUUACAUUGCAGCCUCCCA
This is a long non-coding RNA of Dermochelys coriacea (leatherback sea turtle), 1395 nucleotides long. RefSeq lists it as uncharacterized. The record is from RefSeq and is a predicted model, not a curated record. The transcript has 5 exons. NCBI's taxonomy places the organism in Eukaryota, Metazoa, Chordata, Testudines, Dermochelyidae.